This 552-nucleotide long non-coding RNA is filed under the name Homo sapiens (human). RNAcentral's name for it is "non-protein coding LINC01869:30". The record is from RNAcentral. Lineage: Eukaryota; Metazoa; Chordata; Mammalia; Primates; Hominidae.
CCUGACGCUCUUUUCAGUUAACGGCAAGGCGGUGCACCCAAGUCCGGUGGUGUCCUACCUGGUGACCUCCUACCUGUGCUGGGACGCCAGCGACUUGAUGCUGCACUCCGCAGGGCGCAGCGAGGCGGACAUCCAAACAGCGGAACUCAGACGCUGACUCCGAGCGCACCCCGGGCCUUCCCAUUUCAUACACCCUCGAGGAUGAGACCCAAGCACCUCCAAGGAAUAGCACCCGAGGUCUUCAGGACACCGACCGGUAGCCAUGGCCAGAUGCCCGGCCAACCCCUUCAGCGUGGCCACGCCCUGGAUAUUCGACCUCCCCUGAGGCCCCACCCCCUGAUAUCAGGCCACGCCCUCCGAGGGGACCGGUGGCAAACUCCAGCCCUCGCUCUAGGGCCCGCCCUUUGCGGCUUUGUCCCUGCCCACUGGGUCCUCACAGUACCUCCACCCCAGAGGCCCAGCAUCCCCUCCCGUUCUGCAGACACUUGUCCAGCGUCCCGCUGAGCUCGGCAGUGUGGCUAGUUUGUGUGGCCCUGCCCCUGGUGCCCAGCC